Molecule: ribosomal RNA, 497 nt
Filed under: uncultured bacterium
Lineage: Bacteria
Description: partial 16S ribosomal RNA
Rfam family: Bacterial small subunit ribosomal RNA
Source: RNAcentral
GACGAACGCUGGCGGCGUGCCUAAUACAUGCAAGUAGAACGCUGAAGAGAGGAGCUUGCUCUUCUUGGAUGAGUUGCGAACGGGUGAGUAACGCGUAGGUAACCCGCCUUGUAGCGGGGGAUAACUAUUGGAAACGAUAGCUAAUACCGCAUAACAAUGGAUGACACAUGUCAUUUAUUUGAAAGGGGCAAUUGCUCCACUACAAGAUGGACCUGCGUUGUAUUAGCUAGUAGGUGAGGUAAUGGCUCACCUAGGCGACGAUACAUAGCCGACCUGAGAGGGUGAUCGGCCACACUGGGACUGAGACACGGCCCAGACUCCUACGGGAGGCAGCAGUAGGGAAUCUUCGGCAAUGGGGGCAACCCUGACCGAGCAACGCCGCGUGAGUGAAGAAGGUUUUCGGAUCGUAAAGUUCUGUUGUAAGUCAAGAACGGGUGUGAGAGUGGAAAGUUCACACUGUGACGGUAGCUUACCAGAAAGGGACGGCUAACUACGUG